CGUGCUGGGGCUAAAAUACCUUUCUUUUCUUGUGAGAUUACCUCUGAUAAAGUAAAUCAACCCAAAACUCAGAGGAGUUCUAUCUUUCGAUUUCCAUAUAACAAUUUUUACAAGGCUAAUCAAAGGCAAUUGUUAAGGAAACAAAUUCACAAUGUCCUAGAUAGUGGAAGCUAUGAAUCUCUGGAAAUCUCGUCUGAGUUGGAAGAGGGGCUCGCUCAAGCCAUUGAGGAAGCAGAAGCAGCCUGGGAAAUAAGUAAAAGCCUUGAAGUCUCUUUUCAAGGAGACUGUGAAGGGAAUUGCUGAAGCAGUAUCCCUUUUGGAAGAAGACCUUGAUGAAAGAUUGCUUAUUCACAUAUAUAUGUUAUAGCCUAAGGAGUUAGACAUGUUGAAAUUGUACAGUCAUCAAAUAUUUCAUCAAGCAGCUUGCGGCCUUAUAACUUCAGAAUGGGAAGGGUCUUAACUUCUCUUCAAACUUUUAAGUGCUUCUACCACUUUGAUCUCAGGCUGCCUAUAUAUCAAGAGAAAGCAUCAAAACCUGAGACACUUGUCGGUGUUCUCCGUAAUGGAAUUUCAAAUUAUGUUCAAGAGCUGUGAGGUGCAAAAGCUAUGAUCGAUGGGAACCUUGUUGUUAAUGAUGAAACUUGCACAACAGACGGUUUGCAUGAAGUUGAGUUGCUUCUACCAUUCAUGAAGGAUAUGUACAUUCCUAUCAAAAAAAUGAAGGAUAUGUACAUCGGAGGUUCUCUGGCCAUUUCAAUUUUGAACUCAAUUAUAUUUUUAUGUUUUUUAUAAUGUUAAAUCUAACAUUUAAUAAUUUGCUUAAAUUUUGUGAAGCAUGCAGCCAGAAAGAUGUUGUAGGUAUUCUCAAUUUUACUGGUUCUGUACGUUCCUUUUCAUUCUUGAAUUCAAAGGAACCAAUUUCACAGGCUGUUGCUGAUAUAAAAGUACUCAUUUCUUGGUUUGGAUAACAACUUGGUCUUUUUUUUAAUAUAUAUACUAGAGAAGUUUUGGGAUGUAAAUUUUCAUCCUAAGAGAUAAAUGUUGCAUCUUUAUGUAAGAUAACAACGAGCAAGUUAGAUAUGUUUCAAAUGUUUAUCUAACUGGUUGUGAUUGGAAUAGAAAUUUUGGAAAAUAUAUGAAAUUAUCUGAUUUAGUUGAGUUGAUCAGUACAAAUGUGUGCACCGAGACUCUAACAUUCUCUUACAGAUCAAAAGACAUUCUAACCCUACAACUUUGGUCUGAAGAGUCUCUUUCCACCUUAUGUCAUAUAUGGUUUAAAUUAGAGUUAGCAUACCUCUCAGUUGUAAAUUGUGCUUCUGUAUGCAUGGUGCAGGAUUUUUCAUGUAGCUAUUAUUUUCUCUUAAUUGACAUGUCAUACUUUAUUUGGUGAUAUGCUUUAAACAAAGCAUAUACUAUAUUUUAUCUUCCUUUCGUUUUUAUUGAGUUGUAGUUUCUCUUCAUUUAUAGCAAUCGUGACUAGUCAAUUCUUUAAAGACCCUUGUAAUUCUUCAGCAUAGAAAUAAGAACUUGAAAUGUUAACAUUCAGAGGUUAUUUGUAUGUUCUCAAUCCCAGAAGAAUAAACGGCCUUAUUCACUUGAGUGACAUGUGCUUGAUGUUCUUUUCUUAUGCAAUUGUUUAUGGCUCUGAUCAGGAUGAUAUCAUCAGGAGUUUGCUAAACAGGUUGGAUAUCAUUUGUGAUGAAGUGGAUGAAAAUGUAUGGCCAAAUGACGAUGUAAUUAAGGAAACAAGAAAUGACCCAUUGUCUGAAAAGCCGGUUUCCCAACU
This is a long non-coding RNA of Hibiscus syriacus, 1786 nucleotides long. RefSeq lists it as uncharacterized. The record is from RefSeq and is a predicted model, not a curated record. The transcript is spliced from 5 exons. NCBI's taxonomy places the organism in Eukaryota, Viridiplantae, Streptophyta, Magnoliopsida, Malvales, Malvaceae.